Transfer RNA from Felis catus (domestic cat), 85 nucleotides. It matches the Rfam family "tRNA". From Rfam's summary of the family: Transfer RNA (tRNA) molecules are approximately 80 nucleotides in length. Their secondary structure includes four short double-helical elements and three loops (D, anti-codon, and T loops). Further hydrogen bonds mediate the characteristic L-shaped molecular structure. tRNAs have two regions of fundamental functional importance: the anti-codon, which is responsible for specific mRNA codon recognition, and the 3' end, to which the tRNAs corresponding amino acid is attached (by aminoacyl-tRNA synthetases). tRNAs cope with the degeneracy of the genetic code in two manners: having more than one tRNA (with a specific anti-codon) for a particular amino acid; and 'wobble' base-pairing, i.e. permitting non-standard base-pairing at the 3rd anti-codon position. The record is from Rfam. NCBI's taxonomy places the organism in Eukaryota, Metazoa, Chordata, Mammalia, Carnivora, Felidae.
ACCUGGGUGGCUCAGUCGGUGAAGUGUCUGACUUUGGCUCAGGUCAUGAACUUGCACUUUGUGAGUUUGAGUCCCGCAUCAGGUA